Molecule: ribosomal RNA, 465 nt
Filed under: Vreelandella stevensii
Lineage: Bacteria; Pseudomonadati; Pseudomonadota; Gammaproteobacteria; Oceanospirillales; Halomonadaceae
Description: partial 16S ribosomal RNA
Rfam family: Bacterial small subunit ribosomal RNA
Source: RNAcentral
CCUACGGGGGGCUGCAGUGGGGAAUAUUGGACAAUGGGGGCAACCCUGAUCCAGCCAUGCCGCGUGUGUGAAGAAGGCCCUCGGGUUGUAAAGCACUUUCAGUGAGGAAGAACGCCUGGUGGUUAAUACCCAUCAGGAAAGACAUCACUCACAGAAGAAGCACCGGCUAACUCCGUGCCAGCAGCCGCGGUAAUACGGAGGGUGCGAGCGUUAAUCGGAAUUACUGGGCGUAAAGCGCGCGUAGGUGGCUUGAUAAGCCGGUUGUGAAAGCCCCGGGCUCAACCUGGGAACGGCAUCCGGAACUGUCAAGCUAGAGUGCAGGAGAGGAAGGUAGAAUUCCCGGUGUAGGGGUGAAAUGCGUAGAGAUCGGGAGGAAUACCAGUGGCGAAGGCGGCCUUCUGGACUGACACUGACACUGAGGUGCGAAAGCGUGGGUAGCAAACAGGAUUAGAUACCCUAGUAGUC